Molecule: ribosomal RNA, 1662 nt
Filed under: Triticum aestivum (bread wheat)
Lineage: Eukaryota; Viridiplantae; Streptophyta; Magnoliopsida; Poales; Poaceae
Description: partial small subunit ribosomal RNA
Source: RNAcentral
AUGCAUGUCGGUACGAUCAUGGAGCCGAAUGAUGUGACUUUCUUUGAAGAUAUCUUUCCCAUGAAGGAUAUGGCUACGUCAUCUAAUCAGGAGAUGCCUAGUUCAUCGAAUCAGGAAACGGUUACAAUUACUGAACCUGCCAUUUCGAUGGAACACUUUGAAAGUCCUGUGGAGGAGAACAAUGAAGUUCCUACUAGGAGCAAGAGACAGAGGACUGCAAAGUCUUUUGGUGAUGAUUUUCUUGUGUAUCUCAUACAUGACACUCCCAGUUCUAUUUCGAAGGCCUGUGCAUCGGAAGAUGCUGACUACUGGAAGGAAGCGGUUCGUAGCGAGAUGGAUUCUAUCUUGGCGAAUGAAACCUGGGAGAUAACUGAUCGUCCUUAUGGGUGCAAACCUAUAGGAUGCAAAUGGGUAUUCAAGAAGAAGCUUAGGCCUGAUGGUACUAUAGAAAAGUACAAGGCUCGGCUCGUGGCUAAGGGUUAUACCCAAAAGGAAGGUGAAGACUUCUUUGAUACUUACUCACCUGUGGCUCGACUGACCACUAUUCGAGUUCUACUUUCACUAGCUGCCUCACAUGGUCUUCUCGUUCAUCAAAUGGAUGUUAAGACUGCUUUCCUAAAUGGAGAGUUGGAUGAGGAAAUUUAUAUGGAACAACCAGAUGGGUUUGUAAUAGAUGGUCAGGAAGGGAAAGUGUGCAAGUUACUGAAGUCUUUGUAUGGACUCAAGCAAGCACCCAAACAGUGGCAUGAGAAGUUCGAAAGAACUCUAACAGCUGCAGGAUUUGUUGUGAACGAAGCUGACAAAUGUGUGUACUAUCGCCAUGGUGGGGGCGAGGGAGUUAUGCUUUGCUUGUAUGUUGAUGACAUACUGAUUUUCGGAACAAAUCUGAAUGUUAUUAAGGAGGUCAAGGAUUUCCUAUCUCGCUGUUUUGAGAUGAAGGAUUUAGGAAUGGCUGAUGUCAUGCUGAACAUCAAGUUGUUGAGAGAUGAUGAUGGUGGAAUUACAUUGCUUCAAUCUCACUAUGUGAAAAAGAUCUUGAGUCGCUUUGGCUAUAGUGACUGCAAGCCCUCUCCAACACCAUAUGAUGCAAGCCUGCUGCUUCGAAAGAAUCGAAGAAUUGCUAGAGAUCAAUUGAAGUAUUCUCAGAUUAUUGGCUCGCUUAUGUACUUAGCCAGUGCUACAAGACCUGACAUCUCUAUUGCUGUUAGCAAACUGAGUCGGUUUGUUUCAAAACCAGGAGAUAUGCAUUGGAAAGCUCUAGAGAGAGUUUUGCGUUAUUUGAAAGGCACUGCGAAUUAUGGAAUUCACUACACUGGGCAUCCAAAGGUGCUUGAAGGUUAUAGUGACUCAAACUGGAUCUCAGAUGCUGAUGAGAUAAAGGCCACGAGCGGUUAUGUAUUCACUCAUGGAGGUGGCGCUGUUUCUUGGAAGUCUUGCAAGCAGACCAUCUUAACGAGGUCAACAAUGGAAGCAGAACUCACAGCACUAGAUACAGCUACGGUCGAAGCAGAUUGGCUUCGCCGGCUCUUGAAUGACUUGUCGGUAGUUGAGAAACCUGUACCGGGUAUCCUUAUGAACUGUAACAAUCAAACUGUGAUCACUAAAGUGAGCAGCUCAAAGGAUAACAUGAAGUCAUCAAGACAUGUUCAGAGAAGGGGCUAA